UGAGGUGGUAAGUCACAGAGGCUGAGCAUCUGGGGUUUGUAGCUAAGCACAAAUAGACAAUGUUUGUUUUUUAAUAAGGACAAAUGUGAAGUCCUGCAUCCUGGAAACAAGAACACAGGCUGUGUUUGCAGGACGGGGACUUCUGCCCAGACAAGCAGGGAUCCAAGGGAGAACUGAGAGAUUAUGAUGUGAAAUCCAGCGGACUGAACAAUGCAGUGUUUUGUGUUGCUGUAAUGAAGAACAAAUUGUGUAGGACACAAAGCACCUCUUGAAUUUUUGCUUUUUAGCUUGUGCAUUUCACUCCUAUGGUUUUAUGUACUUGAAAUUCCAAAGGAAGACUCCUCUAUCUGAGAGUUAUCU
Molecule: long non-coding RNA, 360 nt
Filed under: Apteryx rowi (Okarito brown kiwi)
Lineage: Eukaryota; Metazoa; Chordata; Aves; Apterygiformes; Apterygidae
Description: lncRNA (ENSARWG00000007346.1)
Source: RNAcentral